AGCUUGCUCCUUGGGUGACGAGUGGCGGACGGGUGAGUAAUGUCUGGGAAACUGCCCGAUGGAGGGGGAUAACUACUGGAAACGGUAGCUAAUACCGCAUAACGUCGCAAGACCAAAGAGGGGGACCUUCGGGCCUCUUGCCAUCGGAUGUGCCCAGAUGGGAUUAGCUAGUAGGUGGGGUAACGGCUCACCUAGGCGACGAUCCCUAGCUGGUCUGAGAGGAUGACCAGCCACACUGGAACUGAGACACGGUCCAGACUCCUACGGGAGGCAGCAGUGGGGAAUAUUGCACAAUGGGCGCAAGCCUGAUGCAGCCAUGCCGCGUGUAUGAAGAAGGCCUUCGGGUUGUAAAG
Molecule: ribosomal RNA, 353 nt
Filed under: Citrobacter freundii
Lineage: Bacteria; Pseudomonadati; Pseudomonadota; Gammaproteobacteria; Enterobacterales; Enterobacteriaceae
Description: bacterial SSU rRNA
Rfam family: Bacterial small subunit ribosomal RNA
Source: RNAcentral